UCUUGACGUCGAUAUGUCUCAGAUGCUUGACACAUCGAUCCUGACCAUCACCAUUGUCUCAUUCUUUGCAUACCGUCAGCAACUCCAUUCCUAGAGAUGUUUGCAUCUUAGGCUUGAGCUACCUACAGCGUAAAUAAAACUGAUUAUGAUUCACUGAGAAUUUCAUAUUUACUGAUUAGAGUAUAGGGAACAAUAAGCAGCAUCCAUGAAGCACAUCCUAGGGGCAUAAGGUUAAAGAAAUAAUGUGUUGAAACAAACGUUGAUAUGCAUAUGCAAUUCCGACAGAGAAAUCAUUUUGUAACUACGGGUAUGUAUAUGCAUGGAGUUUCAGAACAAAUACACAUUAGCUAAGAAGAAAAUGAAUGGAUAUUGGUUAACAAAGUAAUAGUGUUCUUGUUAACUUGCAAGAGAUGAUCGGCAGCAAAACAGAAGAUUGUAGAAAAUGCUAAGAAUAAAUAAACAACUUACAAUCCUUAGUCCAAGUUUUGCUUCUCAAAGAAAUGAAGCGCUCACUCUCUUAGAAUUUGGUGCAAAACAUACUACAAUCUGAGAAAUAAGCUUGUAAUUUUGCCCAAAACAACUAAAUUUGUGGAUGAAAUCAAAAUCGAACACAUGGUCUAAUUUUAAUUCUGUUUGGAACAUUCGGUACAAUUUGGCAUCCGCUUUCUCAAAGUAUAAAGUUUCUUUGUUGUUUUAUGAGCAUUAACAUCAAAGGUUAUGCCAGAAAAUAGCACAUACGAUGCUGUUCAACGAGAUGCGAUGUUAUAGAUUUAUGAUCUAGAUGCUGACAUAAGUGCACAACAAACAAUCUUGGUCGAUAAAUACUCCAGAAGCACAUUUACAUAUAAAGUCUGGUUUAUGCUAGGGAAAAUUAAUAAGGAAUAACAUCAAUGAACAAUACAUUUUCAAAGCUUUACAAGUUACAUACACCGACAGACUUGCAUGCAUGCUUGAAAAAAUUAGAGCAGAUACCCCUUUUCAAGUACCAGUAUAUAGUAUAUACAUAUACACCCAGCCCUUCCAAAAAAAUACCGAGAUUAGAUUUUCUACCUCUCUUUAUGAGUAUAAACCUUUUGAUUCACUGCAUAUACCAUUUUCUUGAAUGGAACUGAGGUAAUGUCCAGUAGAAGUUUCUAGAUUAUUUUGUUAUCCAGUAAAUAUCCAGUCAAAUAGAUCAAGAAAUAUUGAAUGCCCUUGAUGGUACCAAAAAUAAAUGAAAAUCCAACUCACAACUAUGGUGGAGGGGCUAAUCGAAGAAUGGGUGUUCACCCCAAGAUCAGUGUGAAGUUAAGCAGGUUUUGAAUCUAGUCAGACCCUAUGUGCCCCAAAAUCAUAUUUAGGAUAAGCAAUCAAGUAUAUAUACUCCACCAACUAAACAAUUUGCAAAGAGAAAAUUUUAUAAAGCUUUGAUAUAGAUGCAUCUGAAGUCAUGAACUAGAUCGGCGGAACACUUUUUUGAUAUACCUGUCAUAGUGCCUUGAUUGUCGACAGGAGAUGCUUUCUUCUGAAUAUGCAAUAGAUAAUUGAGCUUUGUCGGUGCCGAUUGCUGCUGAUAUCUCGGCGUGACCAAGUCCCAUUGAGCAUCCUUUCUGAUUUAAAUCCCAGGAAGAUUUGGAUAAAGAGCAAACAGGAACAAGAACAACAUGAAAUUUGACAAUUAAAAACUUAAAAGAAGGAACACCAGAUAUUAUAUACUACAAACAUGCAAAAGUAUAGAGAUCCUCCAGGGAGAAGUAAUUGUUGCACUUCAACACCCAGAGUAAACCUCAAUAGUCAAAACACCUUAAAGAGCAACAGUUCUAAUACGGAGUACAACUCUAGUUUCAUUAGCUAUCUCUGUAAUAAUUUAUAAAAUCAAUUUCCAUGCAAUGUUCCUAUCCUCAAUGAAUUGUCUAUAGGAAACGUAAGAACUACUUGAUGUCUAUUAAUAACAGAUCCAUCUUUCUAUACCAGCAAAUUACUAAUUAAAAUCCCAGGAUUUUUUCCCAAUUAAAUACCUGCUUCUCGUGUGAAUAUAUAUACAAUAGGGAGCAAAGUUAAAAAUUCAGUUAAGAGAACGGACCUUACUAUUUUUGGACUUCUCGAUCAACAAAUGAUUUUGAUUGCUGACCGAUACAUGCACAAAUUAGUAAUUCCAGAAAAUUUACCAAGCAAAAAUCCAGAAUCGUUUUGCAACUA
Molecule: long non-coding RNA, 2178 nt
Filed under: Triticum aestivum (bread wheat)
Lineage: Eukaryota; Viridiplantae; Streptophyta; Magnoliopsida; Poales; Poaceae
Description: long non-coding RNA (TAES_LNC018933)
Source: RNAcentral